AAUUCAAGUUAUUUACAAAAUAAAAGUAAUACAUUAACAAAUACCUAACCAUGGCCUACAAAAUCAAUACAACUUUAUUAUUAACUAUUUUAGUUUUAAUCGGUUUGAGCACUGUUAGCCUAAACAACUGGGUAGACGCUGCUGCUGCCGGUGCUGUUGAACACAACAACAACCCCAACAAUGCUAAUGUUGCCAAACGGUCGAUACCAAACAACCUACUGGAGCCGGAAUCGAUGUCAGCAUUGGGUGAUUGGCUGAAACAACAGAUAUCCACAAUAAUAGGAUUACCAACUAUUAUAUUAAUUUUUUUCACAUUGUUUGUACCGUUUUUAGGCUUACUAACCUUACCAAUAGCAAUAUUAUUUGUAC
Molecule: long non-coding RNA, 369 nt
Organism: Oppia nitens
Lineage: Eukaryota; Metazoa; Arthropoda; Arachnida; Sarcoptiformes; Oppiidae
Exons: 3
Source: RefSeq, a predicted model, not a curated record